This 446-nucleotide ribosomal RNA is filed under the name uncultured bacterium. RNAcentral's name for it is "partial 16S ribosomal RNA". It matches the Rfam family "Bacterial small subunit ribosomal RNA", at positions 338 to 795 of the family's 1533-position model. The record is from RNAcentral.
CCUACGGGGGACAGCAGUCGAGAAUCAUUCACAAUGGGGGAAACCCUGAUGGUGCGACGCCGCGUGGGGGAAUGAAGGUCUUCGGAUUGUAAGCCCCUGUCAUGUGGGAGCAAAUUAAAAAGAUAGUACCACAAGAGGAAGAGACGGCUAACUCUGGGCCAGCAGCCGCGGUAAUACAGAGGGCUCAAUCGUUGUUCGUAGUCACUGGGCGUAAAGCGUGCGUAGGCUGUUUGGUAAGUCGUGUGUGAAAGGCGCGGGCUCAACCCGCGGACGGCACAUGAUACUGCGAGACUAGAGUAAUGGAGGGGGAGCCGGAAUUCUCGGGGUAGCAGUGAAAUGCGUAGAUAUCGGGAGGAACACUCGUGGCGAAGGCGGGUUACUGGACAGUAACUGACGCUGAGGCACGAAGGCCAGGGGAGCGAAAGGGAUUAGAUACCCGAGUAGUC